Molecule: ribosomal RNA, 252 nt
Filed under: Amedibacillus dolichus DSM 3991
Lineage: Bacteria; Bacillati; Bacillota; Erysipelotrichia; Erysipelotrichales; Erysipelotrichaceae
Also listed under: 1 other name
Description: partial 16S ribosomal RNA
Rfam family: Bacterial small subunit ribosomal RNA
Source: RNAcentral
UACGUAGGUGGCAAGCGUUAUCCGGAAUGAUUGGGCGUAAAGGGUGCGUAGGUGGUACAUUAAGUCUGAAGUAAAAGGCAGCAGCUCAACUGCUGUUCGCUUUGGAAACUGGUGAACUAGAGUGCAGGAGAGGGCGAUGGAAUUCCAUGUGUAGCGGUAAAAUGCGUAGAUAUAUGGAGGAACACCAGUGGCGAAGGCGGUCGCCUGGCCUGUAACUGACACUGAGGCACGAAAGCGUGGGGAGCAAAUAGG